Molecule: ribosomal RNA, 1527 nt
Filed under: Ambohima zoky
Lineage: Eukaryota; Metazoa; Arthropoda; Arachnida; Araneae; Phyxelididae
Description: partial 18S ribosomal RNA
Rfam family: Eukaryotic small subunit ribosomal RNA
Source: RNAcentral
CCAUGCAUGUCUAAGUACAUGCCGUAUUAAGGCGAAACCGCGAAUGGCUCAUUAAAUCAGUUAUGGUUCCUUGGAUCGUACCUUACUACUUGGAUAACUGUGGCAAUUCUAGAGCUAAUACAUGCAGCAGAGCUCCGACCUUCGGGGACGAGCGCUUUUAUUAGACCAAAACCAAUCGGACCUCGUGUCCGUUUCUGGUGGUGACUCUGUAUAACUUUGGGCUGAUCGCACGGGCCUGUCCCGGCGACGUAUCUUUCAAGUGUCUGCCUUAUCAACUUUCGAUGGUAGGUUACGCGCCUACCAUGGUCGUAACGGGUAACGGGGAAUCAGGUAGCUCCAAUAGCGUAUAUUAAAGUUGUUGCGGUUAAAAAGCUCGUAGUUGGAUCUCAGUUCCAGACGGGUGGUCCGCCUACCGGUGGUUACUGCCUGUUCUGAACAGCCAGCCGGUUUCUCUUGAUGAUCUUCACCGGUUGUCUUGGGUGACCGGCAAGUUUACUUUGAAAAAAUUAGAGUGCUCAAAGCAGGCGUGACGCCUGAAUAAUGGUGCAUGGAAUAAUGGAAUAGGACCUCGGUUCUAUUUUGUUGGUUUUCGGAACACGAGGUAAUGAUUAAGAGGGACAGACGGGGGCAUUCGUAUUGCGACGCUAGAGGUGAAAUUCUUGGACCGUCGCAAGACGAACUACUGCGAAAGCAUUUGCCAAGAAUGUUUCCAUUAAUCAAGAACGAAAGUUAGAGGUUCGAAGGCGAUCAGAUACCGCCCUAGUUCUAACCAUAAACGAUGCCAGCCAGCGAUCCGGCUGUGUUCCUCAAAUGACACGCCGGGCAGCUUCCGGGAAACCAAAGCUUUUGGGUUCCGGGGGAAGUAUGGUUGCAAAGCUGAAACUUAAAGGAAUUGACGGAGGGGCACCACCAGGAAUGGAGCCUGCGGCUUAAUUUGACUCAACACGGGAAAACUUACCCGGCCCGGACGCAGGAAGGAUUGACAGAUUAAGAGCUCUUUCUUGAUUCUGCGGGGUGUGGUGCAUGGCCGUUCUUAGUUGGUGGAUCGAUUUGUCUGGUUAAUUCCGUUAACGAACGAGACUCUAGCCUACUAAAUAGACGUUCCGAUCAUCUAAGUCGGACGUCCUUCUUAGAGGGACAAGCGGCGUCUAGCCGCACGAGACAGAGCAAUAACAGGUCUGUGAUGCCCUUAGAUGUCCGGGGCCGCACGCGCGCUACAUUGAAGGAAUCAUCGUGUGCUUUCCCUGUCCGAAAGGAUUGGGUAACCCGUUGAACCUCCUUCGUGCUGGGGAUAGGGGCUUGUAACUGUUCCCCUUGAACGAGGAAUUCCCAGUAAGCACGAGUCAUCAGCUCGUGUUGAUUACGUCCCUGCCCCUUGUACACACCGCCCGUCGCUACUACCGAUUGAAUAAUUUAGUGAGGUCUUCGGACUGGCGCUCGGAGCGGCCCUCCAGGGUCGCGCCGGUGCAUCGGAAAGAUGACCAAACUUGAUUAUUUAGAGGAAGUAAAAGUCGUAACAAGGUUUCC